CGAAUGCUGACAUAAGUAACGAUAAAGCGGGUGAAAAGCCCGCUCGCCGGAAGACCAAGGGUUCCUGUCCAACGUUAAUCGGGGCAGGGUGAGUCGACCCCUAAGGCGAGGCCGAAAGGCGUAGUCGAUGGGAAACAGGUUAAUAUUCCUGUACUUGGUGUUACUGCGAAGGGGGGACGGAGAAGGCUAUGUUGGCCGGGCGACGGUUGUCCCGGUUUAAGCGUGUAGGCUGGUUUUCCAGGCAAAUCCGGAAAAUCAAGGCUGAGGCGUGAUGACGAGGCACUACGGUGCUGAAGCAACAAAUGCCCUGCUUCCAGGAAAAGCCUCUAAGCAUCAGGUAACAUCAAAUCGUACCCCAAACCGACACAGGUGGUCAGGUAGAGAAUACCAAGGCGCUUGAGAGAACUCGGGUG
RNAcentral lists this ribosomal RNA (413 nucleotides) under Escherichia coli. RNAcentral describes it as "bacterial LSU rRNA". It matches the Rfam family "Bacterial large subunit ribosomal RNA", at positions 1291 to 1706 of the family's 2925-position model. The record is from RNAcentral. Lineage: Bacteria; Pseudomonadati; Pseudomonadota; Gammaproteobacteria; Enterobacterales; Enterobacteriaceae.